Molecule: ribosomal RNA, 484 nt
Filed under: uncultured bacterium
Lineage: Bacteria
Description: partial 16S ribosomal RNA
Rfam family: Bacterial small subunit ribosomal RNA
Source: RNAcentral
GACGAACGCUGGCGGCGUGCUUAACACAUGCAAGUCGAACGAUGAAGCUGGAGCUUGCUCUGGCGGAUUAGUGGCGAACGGGUGAGUAACACGUGAGAAAUCUGCCCUUGACUCUGGGAUAACUGCGGGAAACUGUAGCUAAUACCGGAUACUUUCCCUGGUGGGCUUCCACUGGGGAAGAAAGAAUUUCGGUCAAGGAUGAUCUCGCGGCCUAUCAGCUUGUUGGUGAGGUAAUGGCUCACCAAGGCGACGACGGGUAGCCGGCCUGAGAGGGGGACCGGCCACACUGGGACUGAGACACGGCCCAGACUCCUACGGGAGGCAGCAGUGGGGAAUAUUGCACAAUGGGCGCAAGCCUGAUGCAGCAACGCCGCGUGAGGGAUGAAGGCCUUCGGGUUGUAAACCUCUUUUAGCAGGGAAGAAGCGAAAGUGACGGUACCUGCAAAAAAAGCACCGGCUAACUACGUGCCAGCCGCCGCCGUAA